Molecule: RNA transcript, 776 nt
Organism: Echinops telfairi (small Madagascar hedgehog)
Lineage: Eukaryota; Metazoa; Chordata; Mammalia; Afrosoricida; Tenrecidae
Gene name: selenoprotein W
Exons: 6
Source: RefSeq, a predicted model, not a curated record
UUGGGCUGGCGCCGUCCGCGCUCCCGAUCCGGUGGUGUCCGUGGCCAGCGGAUGCCCCUGUCCCGAGCCAUGGCUCUCGCCGUCCGAGUCGUGUAUUGUGGAGCCUGAGGUUACAAGUCUAAGUAUCUUCAGCUCAAGAACCAGUUAGAAGAUGAGUUUCCUGGCCGCCUGGACAUCAGCGGUGAGGGGACCCCCCAGGCCACCGGGUUCUUUGAAGUGAUGGUGGCGGGGAAGCUGGUCCACUCUAAGAAGAACGGUGAUGGCUACAUGGACACAGAGAGCAAGUUUCUGAAGUUGGUAGCCAUCAUCAAAGCCGCCCUGGCUCAGGGGUAGUGUGCCCCGAAGGCAGAGGUCAGGGACCUUGGCCCAGCCCCUCCUGGCAGACGCUUCAUGACAGGAAGGACCGAAAUGUCUUCUGGACGGGUGGUCUUUCCCAGAAUCCCCCGCGGCUGCUGGGCCGGAGCCGAGGCCGACGACCCUGGUCUUUGCCCCUUUGUGCGUGUGUGGAGCUGCUUGGAGAAUCUAGCUUUUCCCACCGACCCUGCUGCCUUCCUUCCCUCCCCCGACCCCACUUGCUCCGAUUUCCCCUCAUGCUUCGUCCCAGCCCUCCAGACCCCUCAUUCUAUCCUCCAGAAAUUGGAGGGAGGUCCCACCUCUGGGCUUCUCAAGAGGAGCAAGAGAGGGGUCAUGGGGUGUGAGUGAGUGUGUGUUUCAAAUUUCAGCAAUGUCUGCAGUGGUCCGCGUGCAAUAAAGAGUGGGCAAGUUGGCCAAGUGGA